Molecule: ribosomal RNA, 225 nt
Filed under: uncultured bacterium
Lineage: Bacteria
Description: partial 16S ribosomal RNA
Rfam family: Bacterial small subunit ribosomal RNA
Source: RNAcentral
GAUCAUGGUUCAGGAUGAACGCUAGCUACAGGCUUAACACAUGCAAGUCGAGGGGCAGCAUGGUCUUAGCUUGCUAAGACUGAUGGCGACCGGCGCACGGGUGAGUAACACGUAUCCAACCUGCCGUCUACUCUUGGACAGCCUUCUGAAAGGAAGAUUAAUACAAGAUGGCAUCAUGAGUCCGCAUGUUCACAUGAUUAAAGGUAUUCCGGUGGACGAUGGGGA